AGUUGUAGGUGUCGAGCACACUAAAAAUGACUUGAAGAUCCUGAGGAAUCAACAGGGUUGCUGCUUUGUCAAGCCUUGAGUUAUGAAAGUAAAGAUGUAAAGAAGAUGAAUGUACUGCCAGUUUCUGGAGUGGUGUGGAAGCUGUUAACAGAAUUAACUUCAGGGGGAAGAGUUGCUUUCCACCAUUCAGUUUUUGGAAACGAAUUGCUCAUUGUUGCAAACUCCACUGAAACUACCUACACUGAGAUCAGCGCAAUCCUGACACAGAUAAUUUUGUAUUUGAGCUGACUGGUUUGCUAACACGAGUGCUGUAUUGCUUUCCAAGCCUGCUGUCAUGUACCACACAAGGGUUUGGGAGUUUUUUACCAUAAAUAGAUAACUGGUUGGCCAAUAAAAGCACGUUGAGAAGAGAGAUUUUUCUUCUUGCCUGUCCCCAAGUGGGUUUUGUGAGCCAGUUGGGAAGGAUCUGCAGAUAUUUAGAGAGUUUGGGCCCCAAAUGCUUGAAUAUUAGUUAUCAGUCUGUGUAAAUAUCUACAGUUGUGUGGGAAAAAAAGUGUGGUGGAUCUUUCCCUAGUCUGGUGUCUGUGAUGGGGCAUCAUUUGUAAUGUUCAUUCUACAGAGAAGUAGUUCUACUUAUUUCCUGGAAGUGCUCUGGUAAGGUGAAGUGAUUUUCCUGGUGACAGUAGACCUGUGGUGGGAAGAGACCUCCCAAGGGAACACUCAGAGAAAGACAGCUCAAUCUAUCUGGCUUUACUCUCGCUGUCUUUCACUGAGCUGAGAAAUUGGCAUCUGUAUUUUUCACUUUCAGUGCCAGCAUUGGCUGCCAGGAGCUGCUGCCUUGCUGGGUAGGCCUUUCUGAUGAGUGGAAAACUGAAGGAGCACAGAAGAGUUGUUGAUUACUGCAGAUAGACAAAUCAGCUUCUGGAGGACCACCCAUGGUCUAAGCAGCUAGUAAAGUUAAGCUUGGACAGGGAGUGUUUUACUGUGUCUUUGACCCUACCUGGGCACAUGAACAAACUUCUGGCUUUUUUGGACACAGGAACACAUAUGUCUGAUCCAUCUCCUGAGAGCUCUGGGGAAUCUUUCCCCUGACUAUUGAGCAGAAAAUCUGUUUCACAUGUUAUUUUCCUUAUCCCAGUAUCUGCUAGAUCAUAGAUAUAUUCAUAGUCUUUUCAGCACUGUAUGGAGCUUUCAGAUCUCCAGAGAGAGGCCAAGAGAAGGGACUUGAUGUGAAUGCUGCAAUGUGCUGUGGCAUUCUGACAUUCUCAUAAAAUGGCUUUUGAUAAAAGUCUGGGCUGAUGAAGGUCACAACCUGCGUAAUAGUUCUGCCAGCAAACUCAUGUACCGGUUCUAUUAAACCUCUCCAUCAGCUAUGUUUCAAAUA
This is a long non-coding RNA of Pogoniulus pusillus (Red-fronted tinkerbird), 1384 nucleotides long. RefSeq lists it as uncharacterized. The transcript has 3 exons. NCBI's taxonomy places the organism in Eukaryota, Metazoa, Chordata, Aves, Piciformes, Lybiidae. The record is from RefSeq and is a predicted model, not a curated record.